CCUACGGAAGGCAGCAGUGGGGAAUAUUGGACAAUGGGGGGAACCCUGAUCCAGCCAUGCCGCGUGUGUGAAGAAGGCCCUCGGGUUGUAAAGCACUUUCAGUGAGGAAGAACGCCUGGUGGUUAAUACCCAUCAGGAAAGACAUCACUCACAGAAGAAGCACCGGCUAACUCCGUGCCAGCAGCCGCGGUAAUACGGAGGGUGCGAGCGUUAAUCGGAAUUACUGGGCGUAAAGCGCGCGUAGGUGGCUUGAUAAGCCGGUUGUGAAAGCCCCGGGCUCAACCUGGGAACGGCAUCCGGAACUGUCAAGCUAGAGUGCAGGAGAGGAAGGUAGAAUUCCCGGUGUAGCGGUGAAAUGCGUAGAGAUCGGGAGGAAUACCAGUGGCGAAGGCGGCCUUCUGGACUGACACUGACACUGAGGUGCGAAAGCGUGGGUAGCAAACAGGAUUAGAUACCCUGGUAGUC
This 465-nucleotide ribosomal RNA is filed under the name Vreelandella stevensii. RNAcentral's name for it is "partial 16S ribosomal RNA". It matches the Rfam family "Bacterial small subunit ribosomal RNA", at positions 338 to 795 of the family's 1533-position model. The record is from RNAcentral. Lineage: Bacteria; Pseudomonadati; Pseudomonadota; Gammaproteobacteria; Oceanospirillales; Halomonadaceae.